RNAcentral lists this transfer RNA (65 nucleotides) under Limnichidae sp. MJTNT-2012. RNAcentral's name for it is "tRNA-Pro". The record is from RNAcentral. Lineage: Eukaryota; Metazoa; Arthropoda; Insecta; Coleoptera; Limnichidae.
GUCAGAAAGUAGUUUAAUAAAAAUAUUAAUUUUGGAGAUUAAUGAUAAAAGUAAUUUUUUUUCUG